Molecule: long non-coding RNA, 241 nt
Filed under: Sus scrofa (pig)
Lineage: Eukaryota; Metazoa; Chordata; Mammalia; Artiodactyla; Suidae
Description: lncRNA (ENSSSCG00030045657.1, ENSSSCG00050043244.1, ENSSSCG00060077154.1, ENSSSCG00070017082.1)
Source: RNAcentral
CACACUGGCAGUGGGGGAGGAUGGUGGUGGCAGGAGAGGAAGAAGGAGGAGGAGGUGUGGAAGCUGAGACCGCACAGCUCCAAGAGGCACAGCUGGGAUUCAUUCUUCGGUCUGGAGGAUCCCAAAUUUGCCCAUCACGAGAGCGCCCUGGCUUCCUCGGCUCACGGAGAAGAAGGCUGAAUGGUGGUCCUACUGGCGGGAGGAAGGGCCUGGACUGCGGCAGCGCCCAGGGUGUCAGGAG